This 542-nucleotide long non-coding RNA is filed under the name Jatropha curcas. RNAcentral's name for it is "long non-coding RNA (JCUR_LNC000682)". Lineage: Eukaryota; Viridiplantae; Streptophyta; Magnoliopsida; Malpighiales; Euphorbiaceae. The record is from RNAcentral.
UGAUUUGUAAUAAUAAGGUGGUGGAGGUGAUGGUGAGGGAGGUGGUGGUGAUUUGUAGUAGUAUGGAGGAGGGGGAGAUGGAGAUGGAGGUGGUGGUGACUUGUAAUAGUAAGGUGGUGGUGGAGAAGGAGAGGGUGGUGGAGGAGACUUGUAUUCAUAGUGAGGCUUAGGAGAUGGUGGUGGUGGAGACUUGUAUUCAUAUGGUGGUGGUGGUGAUGGGGAAGGUGGUGGUGGUGACUUGUACUCAUAAUGAGGCUUAGGAGAUGGUGGUGGUGGUGACUUGUAUUCAUAAUGAGGUUUGGGAGAUGGAGGUGGUGGUGACUUGUCUUCAUAAGGUGGUGGUGGAGACGGAGAUGGUGGUGGGGGAGACUUGUAUUCAUAAGGGGGUGGUGGAGAUGGAGAUGGUGGGGGGGGGGACUUGUAUUCAUAAUGAGGCUUGGGAGAUGGAGGCGGUGGGGACUUGUAUUCAUAAGGCGGUGGUGGAGAUGGAGAUGGUGGGGGGGGGGACUUGUAUUCAUAAUGAGGCUUGGGAGAUGGAGGCG